Syngnathus typhle (broad-nosed pipefish) is the source of this 1982-nucleotide long non-coding RNA. RefSeq lists it as uncharacterized. NCBI's taxonomy places the organism in Eukaryota, Metazoa, Chordata, Actinopteri, Syngnathiformes, Syngnathidae. The record is from RefSeq and is a predicted model, not a curated record. The transcript has 2 exons.
AGGUGUCAGGGUCCGGGGUGGCGUACCUUUUUUGUCCACAGGGAGCAACUGUGAGCAAAGUGGCAGAGUGCAGAAGGCCCAGGUGCGACUCAUCAGGCUCGUUAGAGGAGAGCUCUUAAGGAGCAUGCUUUUGCUGUCAACUACUCGUCGCCUGGUGUCCCUUCGUUGUGAUCUUCGCCACGGUUGUGCCUCUAGCUCCUCGCUCAUAGUUCUUGCCUUGCUCUCCGACGCCAGGUUCUUCAGAUCCUCUGGUUCGCAAUCCACCCCGUCCUGGCUGAACUCCUCAUGCUCCGCCACUGCUGCCCGGCUCCGUGCUCCUGGCUCCGAUCAUCCCGCUCUACCUCCAUCGCAGCUCCUCCAAUAAACACUCCUCACUCAUUCUGGAAGUCUGAGUUGUUUUUUUUGCAUGUGGGUCAAAUCGAUCGCUAAAACGAUGACAGAACACUCAGGCCUUUCAGACCCAGCAAAGCCACUCAGACGCACCCUCGCAGAACAGCAAUACUAACUCCAAUCCCACGAGUCCACUCUCCAAGCCCUCCUGGAGCAACAGCAGCGAACCAACGAUCAGCUGGAACAAAUGACCAAAUUGCUUCAAAACACCCAGGUCAAAGAAACCCCCUUGCCCCCAGCUGGCGCCUCAAGCUCCUCAGUAUCCGCCAAGUCUGCACUUUGGCGAGGUUUGUUCCCCUCAUCCAGAGAAGUUCUCCGGAGAAGGUGGUAAUUGCGGAGGUUUCCUCCUGCAGUGUUCACUAGUUUUUAAUCGAUCGCCACAGUCUUUUUCCCACGACGGAGCUAAGAUCUCGUUUGUUUUGGGACUCCUCACGGGCAAGGCGCUGUGAUGGGCAGAAGCCCGAUUUUCUGACUGCAGGCAUUUUGGCUGUUCUUAUGAUGAGUUUUUUUUAAAGGAAUUUAAGCAGAUCUUUUCAACCGAGACCGGUCAGACCGGUGUCUCUCGCCGGUUGUGGGGGUUAGGCAAGGGAACAGCACCGUGUCAGAUUUCUCUAUUGAGUUUCGGACGUUAGCAGCUGCGUCCGGGUGGGGCCCUGUAGCGUUGAAAACGUUUUUUUUUCAAGCCUUAAAUGAGUCCUUAAAGGACAAACUGGCAGUCUUGGAAGAACCAGGGACUUUGGAUGACCUGAUUUCCCUGGCCAUUAGGUUGGACAAUCGAAUUAGGCAGAGACGGAGGAGCUCCCGGUGGGAGCGGACGGAGGAGAGAUCACAGUCUUUUUUAACCAGGCCCAGUCCGCCCAGGCGAUCGCCUAGCCAGUCCUCUCCAGGACCCGAGGCCAUGCAGAUUGGCCGGGCCCGACUCUCCCCGGAGGAGCUGCAGCGGCGCCGCGAGUCCCGACAGUGUCUGUACUGCGGCUCCCCGGAUCAUUUCAUUGCCUACUGUCCAGUUCGGCCAAGAGGAGCGGGUCCGAUGGUCUUGAAGGGAGGACCGCCGGACCAGCCAACAAGUAUUAAGUCUCCUCGCUUCUCCCUACCCGCCAUGAUGUCUGUGCACAACCAUUACUACAAGCUAUCCGUGCUUGUCGACUCGGGGUGCGAGAGAAACUUGAUCGACCAAGAAUUCGUCUCCCGAGCCAAAGUCGAGACGGAGCCUCUCCCUACGCCUCUCGCUGUCUCUGCCUUGGAUGGGAGAGGGCUCUCUAGCAUAACCCAACACACCAGACCCGUGGAGCUAGUCAUCGCUGGCAACCAUCGUGAAGUCAUUUCCUUUUAUAUCUUCCCCGUAAGACAGUCAGCCCUCGUUCUUGGUUUCCCCUGGCUCCAGAGACACAACCCUCAGGUCAACUAGUAAGAAUGCCAUAUCGAGUCCUGGUCCACGACAUGCUUGUCCUCUUGUCUUCAGUCUGCCGUGCCAUCUCGCCUGCCCCUAGUAGCACCCGAGGAACCUGGUCCGAUCGAUCUGUCACAAGUGCCCAGUGAAUACCAUGACCUAAGACAAGUUUUUAACAAGAGCAAGGCUUCAUCUCUACCAC